UACGUAGGGGGCGAGCGUUAUCCGGAAUUACUGGGCGUAAAGCGCACGCAGGCGGUUUCUUAAGUUUGACGUGAAAACUCCUGGCUUAACUGGGAGAGGUCGUUGAAGACUGGGGAACUUGAGGCAAUGAGAGGGAUGUAGAAUUCACGGUGUAGUGGUGGAAUGCGUAGAUAUCGUGAGGAAUACCAGUGGCGAAAGCGACAUCCUGGCAUUAGCCUGACGCUCAUGUGCGAAAGCGUGGGGAGCGAACGGG
This 253-nucleotide ribosomal RNA is filed under the name uncultured bacterium. RNAcentral's name for it is "partial 16S ribosomal RNA". It matches the Rfam family "Bacterial small subunit ribosomal RNA", at positions 524 to 776 of the family's 1533-position model. The record is from RNAcentral.